Molecule: ribosomal RNA, 255 nt
Filed under: uncultured bacterium
Lineage: Bacteria
Description: partial 16S ribosomal RNA
Rfam family: Bacterial small subunit ribosomal RNA
Source: RNAcentral
UACGGGGGGUGCGAGCGUUGUCCGGAAUCACUGGGCGUAAAGGGCGCGUAGGUGGUUUGAUAAGGGUGUGGUGAAAGUCCGGGGCUCAACCCCGGAUCUGCCGUGCCGACUGUCAAACUCGAGGGCUGUAGAGGCAGACGGAAUUCCGGGUGUAGCGGUGGGAAUGCGUAGAGAUCCGGAGGAAGACCGGUGGCGAAGGCGGCAUCCGUGGACCAAUUCUGACGCUGAGGAGCGAAAGCCAGGGGAGCAAACGGG